This 72-nucleotide transfer RNA is filed under the name Hanseniaspora osmophila. Its description in RNAcentral is "tRNA-Phe". It matches the Rfam family "tRNA". From Rfam's summary of the family: Transfer RNA (tRNA) molecules are approximately 80 nucleotides in length. Their secondary structure includes four short double-helical elements and three loops (D, anti-codon, and T loops). The record is from RNAcentral. RNAcentral also lists the same sequence under 1 other name. Lineage: Eukaryota; Fungi; Ascomycota; Saccharomycetes; Saccharomycodales; Saccharomycodaceae.
AUUAUCAUUACUUAAUGGUUAAAGUACUAGAGUGAAAUCCUAGGUAUGUGAGUUCGAUUCUCUCUGAUAAUA